This 811-nucleotide long non-coding RNA is filed under the name Priapulus caudatus. RNAcentral describes it as "uncharacterized LOC106816659, transcript variant X3". Lineage: Eukaryota; Metazoa; Priapulida; Priapulimorpha; Priapulimorphida; Priapulidae. The record is from RNAcentral.
GUUGUUGUGUUACAUCUGCUGAUGCUGCUGCUGUCGUUACUGCUGCUGCUGCUGAUGCUGUUUAUUCUCCAUGUACGUGUGUAUCUAAAUGGAUUACUAGGGUUAGAGUUCUUUGUAUGGCUUCUCUCGUCUGUGUGUUUUCGUGGCACGUACACCCAACAAGCCAGCAGAUGUCAGACGUGCCAGCCAUGGCAGAGGUCUGAACUCUAUACAGAGUUAUUGUGUCGCCACAUGUAUCGCACACAAUUACAGUGCUGUUGUUGUCUGUUAUCGUAGUACUUGCUGUUGUUGUUGUUGUUUCGUGUAUCUUGUAUCUUGGGUUCCCUCUCUUGUAUUUCACAAGGCACUGAUUCUCCUUUGGAAUGUGCAGGAUACACUGUUGCAAAGGUCAGACGUGCCAGAUCAGCUGGCAGAGGUCUGAACCAUACAGAGUUAUUGUACGGUCUCAUGUGUCUCUUCACACUACUCAGACUUGAGAAGGCAGCAUCACACAGAUCACACUUAUACGGGUUCUCUCCCGUGUGCGCGUGUGCGCAUGUGCGCGAGUCUCCGCUGCUCAUGCCUCGCCGACAUAUCUGUCAGCAAGUCUCCCAGCGACCGUCAGACUUCCCUUAAAGUUAAGGGAGAGGUCUGAAAGAAAGACUUGUCAAGUCUUUCUCUAUUUUGUUCUCAUGUGCGCGCUGCUUACCCGGUGAUGAAAACAUCUAGGAGGGAUGAAUUCAACGUCAGACAAUGCAUUGCGAUGCAGAGGUCUGAGAACCGAUCCUAGAUGGUCAGGUUCUAUUACUGAUAACUUGAUGUUGUUGUUGUU